This 253-nucleotide ribosomal RNA is filed under the name uncultured bacterium. RNAcentral's name for it is "partial 16S ribosomal RNA". It matches the Rfam family "Bacterial small subunit ribosomal RNA", at positions 524 to 776 of the family's 1533-position model. The record is from RNAcentral.
UACGUAGGGUGCAAGCGUUGUCCGGAAUUAUUGGGCGUAAAGAGCUCGUAGGCGGUCUGUCGCGUCGGAUGUGAAAAUCCAGGGCUCAACCCUGGACCUGCGUUCGAUACGGGCAGACUAGAGUUCGGUAGGGGAGACUGGAAUUCCUGGUGUAGCGGUGAAAUGCGCAGAUAUCAGGAGGAACACCGGUGGCGAAGGCGGGUCUCUGGGCCGAAACUGACGCUGAGGAGCGAAAGCGUGGGGAGCAAACAGG